AAACGAUGUCAACUAGCUGUUGGGGCCUUCGGGCCUUGGUAGCGCAGCUAACGCGUGAAGUUGACCGCCUGGGGAGUACGGUCGCAAGAUUAAAACUCAAAGGAAUUGACGGGGACCCGCACAAGCGGUGGAUGAUGUGGAUUAAUUCGAUGCAACGCGAAAAACCUUACCUACCCUUGACAUGUCUGGAAUUCCGAAGAGAUUUGGAAGUGCUCGCAAGAGAACCGGAACACAGGUGCUGCAUGGCUGUCGUCAGCUCGUGUCGUGAGAUGUUGGGUUAAGUCCCGCAACGAGCGCAACCCUUGUCAUUAGUUGCUACGAAAGGGCACUCUAAUGAGACUGCCGGUGACAAACCGGAGGAAGGUGGGGAUGACGUCAAGUCCUCAUGGCCCUUAUGGGUAGGGCUUCACACGUCAUACAAUGGUCGGGACAGAGGGUCGCCAACCCGCGAGGGGGAGCCAAUCCCAGAAACCCGAUCGUAGUCCGGAUCGCAGUCUGCAACUCGACUGCGUGAAGUCGGAAUCGCUAGUAAUCGCGGAUCAGCAUGUCGCGGUGAAUACGUUCCCGGGUCUUGUACACACCGCCCGUCACACCAUGGGAGUGGGUUUUACCAGAAGUAGUUAGCCUAAC
RNAcentral lists this ribosomal RNA (630 nucleotides) under Achromobacter sp. RNAcentral describes it as "bacterial SSU rRNA". It matches the Rfam family "Bacterial small subunit ribosomal RNA", at positions 804 to 1439 of the family's 1533-position model. The record is from RNAcentral. Lineage: Bacteria; Pseudomonadati; Pseudomonadota; Betaproteobacteria; Burkholderiales; Alcaligenaceae.